This 1598-nucleotide long non-coding RNA is filed under the name Oryzias sinensis (Chinese medaka). RNAcentral's name for it is "lncRNA (ENSOSIG00000005068.1)". The record is from RNAcentral. Lineage: Eukaryota; Metazoa; Chordata; Actinopteri; Beloniformes; Adrianichthyidae.
AUGCAAAACAUAUCUAUUAUCUAUUUCAAUUUAGGUAUUGUAACUUCAAAACCAAACUUGACUAAGUUGGAAAACUUGAAGGCCUGCAGGCAUCAGCUUCUCUGUAUCCUGUCUUGCGUCACAGCACCGAGCCACUGGGGAGCUGACCGUCAACUGCUGAGCCUCGGCAUGGGCCACCCACCACGAAGCAUUGACCCAACCUGCUCUUCUAUGAAUAGCACACUUUGUUCCAGUGGAUUUCCAUUUUCUUCAACUCCAAACCCACAACAAUCAAUACUUUAUGCAAGUUUAGACAUCUUCAAGAGAGCAUCCCAUUCUACACAGCUUUGAAAUGCUUUACCAGUUCUGCCUAAGAUGAGGACUUUCGGAGUGAAAAUAACAGCAUUUAACUUGAGCAUUUACAAAACAUGUGGAGACAUUUCUACACUUCAUCUUUUUAUUGAAGCCUUAAAGAAUCCUUAAAGACCCACUCUGUUGAGAAUUGGGUUUUUGGUGUUUAACAUCUUCUUGUGGCAUUUUUCUGAUGACAAAGGCCAUAUCUAAAGAAUUUAAGAUUAAAAUUACAUUUCCGAGUAUUUCUUUAUUUGUGAAUCAGGAUCAGACGAAAAAGUGCCAUUGGAAAAAGGAAAAUAUAGUAAAAAAUAUGGUGGGCCACAAGUUUCCUGCUCUGCUCCAUCCUGAUGCAUUCACCUACAGAAGUGAAACAGUGAUCCCAAUUUACUUCUGUGUAUUUAGCUAAAGUCAAAAGUGACACCUUGACUGAUAUAGAACAUUUUUCUAAAUUAGGAACCAUAUUUAAGCUCGUUCAAUAAGUGGACAGGGAUUCGUUAGAGCAGAAGUCUCAGGUUCAAGUUGCGUCACUGUUACGUCAUCUCUUCAGUUUUCCGUGGGGCAGCAGUUUCUCGCGCUCUCUCUACUCAACUCUCUCUAAGCCCUAAAGAGAAAAGCGGCAGCUCAGAACCCCCUGUAUUACAAGAAAAUGGGUUUGAUAGAAUAUGGGGGGUUGUAGCCACAGUUUUUUUUCUUGGAUCUCUAAAAGAAAAAAACCCCAGAGGGUACUAGGGUACUUUUUAUUAUGAGGUAAAAAAGGCAGGUCCCCUAGGGCCCUAUAAGUGCACGUGCCUGGUUCUCACCCAUUCCCAAGCACACGUGGCUUUAACUUCUAGUCAAUUCUAGACUGUGAGUUCUUGGAUGAGUUCAAAAGGUUGACAACCGAAGACAACACACACGUCUUCUUGAAGUUACUUCACUUACUUCUUUCCUAUUGCCUCAGUCUCUCCUUAUGCUUGUGACCCUAAUCACUGUCUCACAUGCACCUCCUCCUCAUCCUCUUCACCGUCUCCCUGUUGCUGUGCAAACUUUGGCACAGAUGCAGAGCAAAGCCAGCUGCCUCCAUACGUCUGAGAGAUACCGGUAUGUCUGAGUUUUUUCAAUGCAAUUGACGACUUCACCUCUCACUCUUUUUCUUCUGUUGAAGCCUUUCUGCUCCACCGCGGCACUUAACCCUGUCCACCUUGACUGGACAAAUAUAUUGGGGCCAGGUAUUCUUGUCUCUACUGUGGAAUUUGAGAUCAUAGUUCUUAUUUUUGUGUGUCUUU